GUCAGGAUGGCCGAGUGGUCUAAGGCGUCAGACUCAAGUUCUGGUCUUCGAGAGAGGGCGUGGGUUCAAAUCCCACUUCUGACA
Molecule: transfer RNA, 84 nt
Filed under: Ricinus communis (castor bean)
Lineage: Eukaryota; Viridiplantae; Streptophyta; Magnoliopsida; Malpighiales; Euphorbiaceae
Rfam family: tRNA
About the family: Transfer RNA (tRNA) molecules are approximately 80 nucleotides in length.
Source: Rfam by way of RNAcentral